RNAcentral lists this ribosomal RNA (403 nucleotides) under Verrucomicrobiota bacterium. RNAcentral's name for it is "Verrucomicrobia bacterium partial 16S ribosomal RNA". It matches the Rfam family "Bacterial small subunit ribosomal RNA", at positions 355 to 776 of the family's 1533-position model. Lineage: Bacteria; Pseudomonadati; Verrucomicrobiota. The record is from RNAcentral.
UGGGGAAUAUUGCACAAUGGGGGAAACCCUGAUGCAGCGACGCCGCGUGAGCGAAGAAGGUUUUCGAAUCGUAAAGCUCUGUCCUAUGGGAAGAUAAUGACGGUACCAUAGGAGGAAGCCCCGGCUAACUACGUGCCAGCAGCCGCGGUAAUACGUAGGGGGCAAGCGUUGUCCGGAAUCACUGGGCGUAAAGGGUUCGCAGGCGGAAAUGCAAGUCAGUUGUGAAAGGCAGAGGCUCAACCUCUGUAAGCAAUUGAAACUGUAUUUCUUGAGGUGUGGAGAGGCAAGUGGAAUUCCUAGGGUAGCGGUGAAAUGCGUAGAUAUUAGGAAGAAUACCGGUGGCGAAGGCGACUUGCUGGACACAAACUGACGCUGAGGAACGAAAGCGUGGGUAGCAAACAGG